RNAcentral lists this long non-coding RNA (1985 nucleotides) under Zostera marina. RNAcentral's name for it is "long non-coding RNA (ZMAR_LNC002993)". The record is from RNAcentral. Lineage: Eukaryota; Viridiplantae; Streptophyta; Magnoliopsida; Alismatales; Zosteraceae.
UUUCAUCCAUUUUCAACAAUUAAACCAAGACCACCGUCUUCUCCCUCCUACCUUCUUCUACCUUCUGCUUUCCUCACCCUUCUACCGUAGUCUCCCUUCGACCCUCGUCUCCCUACUACCCCUCAUUUCCCUUUUACCCCCUACCUCAACUUCCUACAAUUGAAGUCUUCUCACUGGUUAGUGUUUAGGUGGUUUCUUCGUUGCGGUUGUCUCUUCGUUCCGGUGUUGCGGUAGCCUGUUCUUCUGCGAUCGUCGUUCUCUUGUUCUGGUUCCUUCUCCUGUUUGGUGGCUUCCGUCGUUGUUUUGUUCUGCGUUUUUCGAUAACGUAGAUCCCGACGUCAUUUCCGUAGUCGUUGUAUUCGUUUCCAUCAUCGUCGUUGAUUUCUCCUCCUGUCUAAAUGAGCCAAAUCUUCUGCGUUAUGUGUUUCCCAUUUAUGACAGAUUAUGCGUACCCCUCGUUGAUCAUAGUGAACCAGAAUUUUUUCAGAUUUUGUCUUCCCCUCGUCCUGUGAAGCAUCUACAUUUUUCUUUUACAGUAAUUUAAUUUUAUGAACAUUCAAAUCCAAUACUAAUUUACUCGUAAUCGACCAACAUUGUCUUUGCCCUUUCACUAUUUUUUUGUCAUUUUGUCAGUUUUUAUUUUUUUAUUUAUAUUUGCUUUCAUGAAUUAUUGUUUAUUCUUUGAGUGUGAAAUCUUUCAAUGUUCCAACUGCAUUUUAAUUUAGGGGUAAAUAAGACGCGGAUAUAAUGUCAAGUACUCUGAUUUGCACUCAUCGUACCGGAUAUCAUCCUAGUGCGCCAAUUAUGUUCAGUACUCUCGCCUGAGCUGGGUUUGACUACUUAUGUAUCAAUUGCAGACAGUCAAUUCAUGUAUCAGUUUACGUUGUCAAUUGCUUAUUUAGACUUUUUAUGCAGUUUUAUGCGCUCAUGUUUCGUAGUUCUUGAAACUAUAGUUUUUUGUUUUUACAUAGAGGUAUAUUGGGUGGUGUUUUUUGUUGCAGGGAUUUUGGAGUUUCCCACAUCAACUAUCUACAUAUGUUGAAAUCAUUAGAGUAUUUCUGGUGUGUUAUUUACUGGAAUUCUUUUGUUUGAUUACUGACGGAUUACUUUUUUUGUUUGAAAUCAUCUUUAACAACAUUGUUUAAGUCAUGAUCACAUAUUACAACUUCAUCUCAUUUUUUAAACGCCGUCUUUUCUGAAGUCUUUUUUAUUUACUUUGUAUUCAUAUUCUUCUAGUGGUUCAAUCUAUUUCUUCUUAUUGUCAUUCUUCGUAUAAUUUUUUGUUAGAUCGGAUGACUUUGUUUUAAUUCAUUCUUUCUUUUUUUGUUGUCAGCAGUUCUAGACAUCUAUUUCUUACCAAUGGAUUUAGUUUCAGUUCCUUCUUCAUCCGAUCCCCGUGGUCGUUCUCUAGAAAUUUAUCAAACUUUGGAUAUGAUAUCUCCUAUGUACUUUCAUUAUUCUAUUCUUAAAUCUAUAACUCUAUUUGGUCAUAAAACCAAUGCUUUCCUUACAUAGUAAUAAUGCUUCCAAGAUUCCACAGAAACGGAAACACUACGUUCAAACAAUCAAUGGCGCCACAGUGUUGGAAAUUGAUAAUACGGAAGGUAUGGUGUUCAUUACAAUUUAUAUCUCCUGCCAUCACAUAUAUGCGCUAUUUGCGCUAAACGUCUCACGUGCCUCUAAUUCUUAUCCAAAGAUCAACUUUUCGUACUAUCAGUUUCUCAGUAAUUGAACCAUUGAUGGACACAUCUCGAAGCAAUGAGACAAUUGUCUGCCAACCCGUCAAUCAACACACUAUUCAUAAAGUCGUUUUUCAUUUUUUUUCCUACAGUCUUUAAUAUCGAUGUGAUUGCGUCUGAAUAUAUUCAUCUGUACCACUGUACAUUAUUCGUUUGUACUAUUUUACAUAUUCGAUCAGUACUACUGUCCUAAUUUGUACUGCUAUCUGAAUUUCUAAUUUUAUUUAUCCACUUUAUUAGUACUAA